AAUGGGGGAAACCCUGACGCAGCAACGCCGCGUGGGUGAUGAAGGCCUUCGGGUCGUAAAGCUCUGUCUGGAGGGAAGAAAUGAUUGGGAGCUAAUACCUCUUGAUCUUGACGGUACCUCUGAAGGAAGCACCGGCUAACUCCGUGCCAGCAGCCGCGGUAAUACGGAGGGUGCAAGCGUUGUUCGGAAUUAUUGGGNGUAAAGGGCGCGUAGGCGGUCCUGUACGCCCGGCGUGAAACCCUGGAGCUCAACUCCGGGCCUGCGCUGGGAACUGCGGGACUAGAGUCAUGGAAGGGAAGUUGGAAUUCCAGGUGUAGGGGUGAAAUCUGUAGAUAUCUGGAAGAACACCGGUGGCGAAGGCGAACUUCUGGCCAAUGACUGACGCUGAGUCGCGAAAGUGCGGGGAGCAAA
This 411-nucleotide ribosomal RNA is filed under the name uncultured bacterium. RNAcentral describes it as "bacterial SSU rRNA". It matches the Rfam family "Bacterial small subunit ribosomal RNA", at positions 370 to 772 of the family's 1533-position model. The record is from RNAcentral.